This 253-nucleotide ribosomal RNA is filed under the name uncultured bacterium. RNAcentral's name for it is "partial 16S ribosomal RNA". It matches the Rfam family "Bacterial small subunit ribosomal RNA", at positions 524 to 776 of the family's 1533-position model. The record is from RNAcentral.
UACGGGGGGGGCAAGCGUUGUUCGGAAUUACUGGGCGUAAAGGGCUCGUAGGCGGCCAACUAAGUCAGACGUGAAAUCCCUCGGCUUAACCGGGGAACUGCAUCUGAUACUGGAUGGCUUGAGUUCGGGAGAGGGAUGCGGAAUUCCAGGUGUAGCGGUGAAAUGCGUAGAUAUCAGGAGGAACACCGGUGGCGAAGGCGGGUCUCUGGGCCGAAAUUGACGCUGAGGAGCGAAAGCGUGGGGAGCAAACAGG